GAGGAGCCUGCGGCAGAUUAGCUAGUUGGUAAGGUAACGGCUUACCAAGGCGAUGAUCUGUAGCCGGCCUGAGAGGGCGGUCGGCCACACUGACACUGACAUACGGGUCAGACUCCUACGGGAGGCAGCAGUCGGGAAUUUUGGGCAAUGGGCGAAAGCCUGACCCAGCAACGCCGCGUGAAGGAUGAAAUCCUUCGGGAUGUAAACUUCGCAAGAACGGGAAGAAUAAGUGAGAGUUAAUAUCUCUUACGAUGACGGUACUGUUUGUAAGCUCCGGCUAACUCCGUGCCAGCAGCCGCGGUAAUACGGGGGGAGCAAGCGUUGUUCGGAUUUACUGGGCGUAAAGGGCGCGUAGGCGGCCACCGCAAGUCGACUGUGAAAUCUCCGGGCUUAACCCGGAAAGGUCAGCCGAUACUGCGGGGCUAGAGUGCAGAAGGGGCAACUGGAAUUCUCGGUGUAGCGGUGAAAUGCGUAGAUAUCGAGAGGAACACCUGCGGCGAAGGCGGGUUGCUGGGCUGACACUGACGCUGAGGCGCGAAAGCUAGGGGAGCGAACGGGAUUAGAUACCCCGGUAGUCCUAGCCUUAAACGAUGGAUGCUUGGUGU
RNAcentral lists this ribosomal RNA (605 nucleotides) under uncultured cyanobacterium. Its description in RNAcentral is "bacterial SSU rRNA". It matches the Rfam family "Bacterial small subunit ribosomal RNA", at positions 224 to 823 of the family's 1533-position model. The record is from RNAcentral. Lineage: Bacteria; Bacillati; Cyanobacteriota.